Molecule: long non-coding RNA, 994 nt
Organism: Myotis lucifugus (little brown bat)
Lineage: Eukaryota; Metazoa; Chordata; Mammalia; Chiroptera; Vespertilionidae
Exons: 3
Source: RefSeq, a predicted model, not a curated record
UUUCUUCCGUGAAGGCAGACCAUGGCUUCACAUCUCUCUGGACACCCUACCUAGCAUGAGAUUCUUGACUGGGAGCAGCCUGGGAAGCAUGGACUCAGCACCUUCACAAUGAUGGAUUUCAGAGCCACCGUGAGGACCUUCAGUCAGAGAUCUGCAGUCAUGGUGACCACGCAAACUCUUCACUGUGCACUUAUCAUUGUCCCCGCAGUGUUUAAGGGUAUGUGAGAGCAUGCUCUGGAGUCAGAUGGCUUAUUGACUGUACCUGGCUCUUCUGCCUGAACCACACCAUAAGGCAUCACUUUCUGGCAUCAGCUUCCUCAUCUGUGGCACAUACCUCAUCAGAGCAAGAACUAACCAGAAGUACUAGGAUGACUACUAUCAAAAAGACAUAAUACCCAGUGUUGGAGGAGAUGUGGAGAAAUCGCAGCCCUCAUAUGUUGCUGGUAGGAAUGUGAAAUGGUGCAGUUGCUUUAGAAAUCAGUCUGGCUAUUCCUUGAAACAUAUAGGUUUCAACAAUUCCACUCCUAGGUCUACCCAAAAUAAAUGAAAACUUACGUCCACAUAAAAACAUAUACAAAUAUUCAUAACAGUUUUAUUCACAAUAGCCAAAAAGUGGAAAAAUCCAAUGUCCAUCCACUGAUGAACAGAGAAAUAAGGUGUGCUAUAUUCAUAUAAUGGACUAUUUGGCAAAAAAAAGAAAUGAAGUGCUUAUAAUACAUACUACAACAUGGAUGAACCUUGAAAACAUUGUUAAAUGGAAAGAACCAGUUACACAUUGUAUGAUAAGAAAUAGAGCACGUUUUGUAUGAUUGUAUAAUUCCAUUUAUAUGAAAUGUCCAGAACAGGCAAAUCUAGAGACAGAAAGUAAUUAAUGGUUAGGAAAGUAAUUAAGGGGAAGGGGGGACUGCUAAUGCAUAUGGGGUUUGGGGGGCAUGAUAAAAAUAUUCUAAAAUUAAUUGUGAUGGCUGUACAACUGUGAGAAUAUGUUAAAAUG